Molecule: long non-coding RNA, 1040 nt
Filed under: Fukomys damarensis (Damara mole-rat)
Lineage: Eukaryota; Metazoa; Chordata; Mammalia; Rodentia; Bathyergidae
Description: lncRNA (ENSFDAG00000030617.1)
Source: RNAcentral
UUGGGGAUAUUAGCAAUGGGCCCUAUUUCCCCUGAAUCUUUGCCUGUUAUGAUGGUUUUCCAGGGUUUCUCAAGUGCUCAGCAGCACCGGAAUGGCCUAGAGUGGAGCAGGGAUCACAGCUGUUGAUCAAGCUAUGCCUCCUGUCAGUGCAGCCCAGAGGGCAGUUGCUGAAGCAAGCGCAGCAGUGGUGGGAAGAUGCUGGAGCCAUUUCUUCAGGAGCGUCUUCAGCUGGACCACCUGAAAACCCAGCUCUUGAAUGCCAUUUGGUGGUGCACAGAAAAUUACAGAAAAGUCAGAGCACUGUUGACCAUGGCACAGAGGGGCAUUGAGCAUAUGGGUACAGAGUAUUUACCACAGUCAGUGGAUGUUAGGGGACAUCACAGAAUCCACUGCCAUUUGUGUUCCAGGGAGGGGUAAGUAAUGCCAAGGGAAGGCCCUGUGUGAGGAGUCUGCCUCGAUGCACAGCUUUCAAAACCUGAGCAUUUUGACCUUCAGGCUCUGGUACCAUGCUUGACAAAGAGUUGGUGCCCAGAGGCCUAAUUGGCAGCAGACUAUCUUAGCCAGCUUUUCAUAGCUGUAACAAAAUUCCUGAGGCUGGGUACUAGUAAGGAGGUUUAUUUUGCUUACUGCUCUGGAGGCUGAAAGUCCAGGGUCACAUGGCCCCUUUGAUUCAGCCUUGGUGUGGAUCUUGUUGGCAUCACCAUGAGAGGAGUAUACGCAAGAGUAAUCAUAUGGUGAGGCAGAAAGCCAGAGUGAUUCAGGGGUCUGGCACUCUUUUAUGACAACCCAUUCUCAAGGGAGCUAACCAGGGUCCUGCAAGAGCUUCUGCAAUCCCUUUUGACAGCAUUGUCCUAAUGGUCUAACCACCUCUUGCUGGGACCCACCUCUUAGACAUCCUACCACCUCUCACAUCACUACAAUGGGGACCAAGCCUCCAACACACAAAUCCUUGGGGAACACAUUUACCCAUACCAUUAACACUCUCUCGUCCCCCCACACUUCCAGGAUAACCUCUUUGUCUCUGCUUCCUUUCUACCCCC